This 36-nucleotide ribosomal RNA is filed under the name Lepista panaeola. RNAcentral's name for it is "partial 28S ribosomal RNA". The record is from RNAcentral. Lineage: Eukaryota; Fungi; Basidiomycota; Agaricomycetes; Agaricales; Clitocybaceae.
GUCCAUUGACUUGGACAAUUUUUGACAUUUGACCUC